UACGGAGGGGGCAAGCGUUGUUCGGAAUUACUGGGCGUAAAGGGCUCGUAGGCGGCCAACUAAGUCAGACGUGAAAUCCCCAGGCUCAACCUGGGAACUGCGUCUGAUACUGGAUGGCUUGAAUCCGGGAGAGGGAUGCAGAAUUCCAGGUGUAGCGGUGAAAUGCGUAGAUAUCUGGAGGAAUACCGGUGGCGAAGGCGGCAUCCUGGACCGGCAUUGACGCUGAGGAGCGAAAGCCAGGGGAGCAAACGGG
Molecule: ribosomal RNA, 253 nt
Filed under: uncultured bacterium
Lineage: Bacteria
Description: partial 16S ribosomal RNA
Rfam family: Bacterial small subunit ribosomal RNA
Source: RNAcentral